Molecule: ribosomal RNA, 259 nt
Filed under: uncultured Staphylococcus sp.
Lineage: Bacteria; Bacillati; Bacillota; Bacilli; Caryophanales; Staphylococcaceae
Description: partial 16S ribosomal RNA
Rfam family: Bacterial small subunit ribosomal RNA
Source: RNAcentral
CUCCUUUGACGUUAGCGGCGGACGGGUGAGUAACACGUGGGUAACCUACCUAUAAGACUGGGAUAACUUCGGGAAACCGGAGCUAAUACCGGAUAACAUUUGGAACCGCAUGGUUCUAAAGUGAAAGAUGGUUUUGCUAUCACUUAUAGAUGGACCCGCGCCGUAUUAGCUAGUUGGUAAGGUAACGGCUUACCAAGGCAACGAUACGUAGCCGACCUGAGAGGUUGGUCGGCCACAUUGGGACUGAGAUACGGCCCAG